Molecule: long non-coding RNA, 337 nt
Filed under: Homo sapiens (human)
Lineage: Eukaryota; Metazoa; Chordata; Mammalia; Primates; Hominidae
Description: LHRI_LNC1369.1
Source: RNAcentral
CAAACAUUGAUGAUUAACUACAAUUUACUCUUCACUGGUGGCACCUGGACUAAUAAUGGAGACUCUGUUCUCAACAGCUGCAUAGUCUGGGAUAGCCAGGCAAGCAAAUGAUGAAAAUGAAAUGUGCUGAGUGGAAAGUAUUAGUGAGGGAAGACUUGCUAAGGGAACUGUGCUUUAAAGCAAGUAGUAAGACUUGUUCAGGAAUUGAGGAAGUCAAGAGAAGAGAGGGAAAUGGCAUUCAUAGGUAGAGAGGGAGCAGCUUGUGCAAAGGCAUGAAUUGUGAAAUGAAAAUACAUACUUUGUUUUUACCGGCAAUAAAGUGGGAUCAGAAUUACAG